This 253-nucleotide ribosomal RNA is filed under the name uncultured bacterium. Its description in RNAcentral is "partial 16S ribosomal RNA". It matches the Rfam family "Bacterial small subunit ribosomal RNA", at positions 524 to 776 of the family's 1533-position model. The record is from RNAcentral.
UACGUAGGGUGCGAGCGUUGUCCGGAAUUAUUGGGCGUAAAGAGCUCGUAGGCGGUUUGUCGCGUCGGCCGUGAAAUCUCCACGCUUAACGUGGAGCGUGCGGUCGAUACGGGCAGGCUUGAGUUCGGUAGGGGAGACUGGAAUUCCUGGUGUAGCGGUGAAAUGCGCAGAUAUCAGGAGGAACACCGGUGGCGAAGGCGGGUCUCUGGGCCGAUACUGACGCUGAGGAGCGAAAGCGUGGGGAGCGAACAGG